UACGGUCACAUUACUCUGAAACACCGGUACCCGCACGAUUACCGAAGUUAAGCAGCGUCGAUCCCGAUCAGUAUAUAGGUGGGUGACCGCUUGGGAAUAUCAGGUGCUGUAA
This is a non-coding RNA of Acanthosepion pharaonis, 112 nucleotides long. The record is from the annotation of a GenBank genome assembly. NCBI's taxonomy places the organism in Eukaryota, Metazoa, Mollusca, Cephalopoda, Sepiida, Sepiidae.